Molecule: long non-coding RNA, 770 nt
Organism: Oreochromis aureus
Lineage: Eukaryota; Metazoa; Chordata; Actinopteri; Cichliformes; Cichlidae
Source: Ensembl
GAUGGAGAAAACACUGACUAUGCAGUAAAAGCAUACCUGGAUAGAAACAUACACACUGAAACACUAUCAGUCAUGGAUUGGCCUUUCCUGAGCCCAUCAACAUUAUUGAAACAGUAUGGGAUCAUCUUGACAGGGAACAGAACGAAAGGCAGCCAACAUCCAAAGAAGAGCUUUAAAGGUUCUUGAAGAAGCCUGGAGAACUAUUCCUGAAGACUACUUAUAGAAAUGACAAGAAAGCUGCCUAUCAGAGCUCGGCUGUGUGGAAGAAUAAAGGUGGUCACACCAAAUAUUGAAAGCUUGUUACGAACUCUGUUUUUACCUUAUAUACUGUAUUUACAUCUGCGUUAGCCCUCCGACAGACAGGCGACCUGGUAAGGGUGCACCCUGCCUCUCGCCGAAUGACGGCUCAAAUAGGCUCUGGCAAGACUCACAGUACUAAGAGCUGUGAAGUAGGGCACCCCGACUAACUCUUUAAAGCAGGCAGCUCCACUGUGAACUAUACCUCCACCCUCUUCUCCUCCUGGGCGUGGACAGCAGCGAGGAUGCACAUAAAAAGAGAUGGAUGGAGAAAGCAGCAGUGUCCUCAACAGACAAUCUGUCCACCUGCAGCAAGAUCACCAGAGAGCCUCCUGAACAGCAGCCUUCAUCCUCCUCAUCCUCCAUCAGACCUGCAGAAGAAUCGAGAAGUGACUCUUCACCCACAGCACAGUUCCCUGUCGGCUGACUGGCUCCCUACAAGAUGCUCCGCCCCCUGCUCUUCCUGUCUGCUC